CGGAACAGGUGGGUUAUCAUGUGGGGGUCGUGUAUCGGUCCAAGGUGGGUUAUAAUGUGGGGGUCGUGUAUCGGUACAAGGUAUCUAUGGUACGCACGAUAACACGAGACGAAGCAAAAGAAUUUGUCGAGGACGAUCAAGUUCACGGUUGAGCAGUUUUAUAGAAACAACAUUUUGUUGCCGUUUUAUUUGUACAGUUGUUGAGUAAAUGAUUUCUUAUCGUUGUAA
Non-coding RNA from Ciona intestinalis (vase tunicate), 228 nucleotides. Lineage: Eukaryota; Metazoa; Chordata; Ascidiacea; Phlebobranchia; Cionidae. The record is from RefSeq and is a predicted model, not a curated record.